GAGUUUGAUCAUGGCUCAGGAUGAACGCUAGCGGCAGGCUUAACACAUGCAAGUCGAGGGGUAUAGUUCUUCGGAAUUAGAGACCGGCGCACGGGUGCGUAACGCGUAUGCAAUCUACCUUUCACAGAGGGAUAGCCCAGAGAAAUUUGGAUUAAUACCUCAUAGUAUAACGACUCUGCAUGGAGAUGUUAUUAAAGUCACAACGGUGAAAGAUGAGCAUGCGUCCCAUUAGCUAGUUGGUAAGGUAACGGCUUACCAAGGCUACGAUGGGUAGGGGUCCUGAGAGGGAGAUCCCCCACACUGGUACUGAGACACGGACCAAACUCCUACGGGAGGCAGCAGUGAGGAAUAUUGGACAAUGGGCGCAAGCCUGAUCCAGCCAUGCCGCGUGCAGGAUGACGGUCCUAUGGAUUGUAAACUGCUUUUGCACAGGAAGAAACAACGCUACGUGUAGCGUCUUGACGGUACUGUGAGAAUAAGGAUCGGCUAACUCCGUGCCAGCAGCCGCGGUAAUACGGAGGAUCCAAGCGUUAUCCGGAAUCAUUGGGUUUAAAGGGUCCGUAGGCGGUUUAGUAAGUCAGUGGUGAAAGCCCAUCGCUCAACGGUGGAACGGCCAUUGAUACUGCUAGACUUGAAUUAUU
This 641-nucleotide ribosomal RNA is filed under the name uncultured bacterium. RNAcentral describes it as "bacterial SSU rRNA". It matches the Rfam family "Bacterial small subunit ribosomal RNA", at positions 9 to 651 of the family's 1533-position model. The record is from RNAcentral.